Long non-coding RNA from Pollicipes pollicipes, 249 nucleotides. RefSeq lists it as uncharacterized. NCBI's taxonomy places the organism in Eukaryota, Metazoa, Arthropoda, Thecostraca, Pollicipedomorpha, Pollicipedidae. The transcript has 3 exons. The record is from RefSeq and is a predicted model, not a curated record.
CUAGCGCGGGAGCACGGACGGCAUGCGAGCUCGCGGCCGCGAGCGGCGCUGGUGACGAACAGUGGUGAGGCGCGGUGCUGUGACGGGCUGAAGCUAACAGCCGACGGCACGCGGCUGAAUGUUACUGAAUGUCUGUAUUCAUGGCGGUAUGAGAGCUGCCGCCCUGCAUCUGCUGCUCGUGGUGGCAGCUGUGCGCCCCUUCUCACCCACAGACCCGGUCCGUUUGGACGUGGACCCGCCGGUGGCACC